This 522-nucleotide ribosomal RNA is filed under the name Sarcocystis sp. Its description in RNAcentral is "SSU rRNA". It matches the Rfam family "Eukaryotic small subunit ribosomal RNA", at positions 309 to 808 of the family's 1831-position model. Lineage: Eukaryota; Apicomplexa; Conoidasida; Eucoccidiorida; Sarcocystidae. The record is from RNAcentral.
GACCUAUCAGCUUUCGACGGUAGUGUAUUGGACUACCGUGGCAGUGACGGGUAACGGGGAAUUAGGGUUCGAUUCCGGAGAGGGAGCCUGGGAAACGGCUACCACAUCUAAGGAAGGCAGCAGGCGCGCAAAUUACCCAAUCCUGACUCAGGGAGGUAGUGACAAGAAAUAACAACACUGGAAAUUUUAUUUCUAGUGAUUGGAAUGAUGGGAAUUUAAACCCCUUUCAGAGUAACAAUUGGAGGGCAAGUCUGGUGCCAGCAGCCGCGGUAAUUCCAGCUCCAAUAGCGUAUAUUAAAGUUGUUGCAGUUAAAAAGCUCGUAGUUGGAUGUCUGCUGGAAGCAAUCAGUCCGCCCUAUUUGUAGGGUGUGCACUUGAUGAAUUCUGGCAUCUUUGUCCCAAUGAUGUAGCGGGGCGGUGGUAUUCGGUGAAAGCCGAGUAUCCUGUUCCGAUUAUUGGGAUACUGUUACUUUGAGAAAAUUAGAGUGUUUGAAGCAGGCUAAUUGCCUUGAAUACUGCAGC